Molecule: ribosomal RNA, 587 nt
Filed under: Bacillus sp. (in: firmicutes)
Lineage: Bacteria; Bacillati; Bacillota; Bacilli; Caryophanales; Bacillaceae
Description: bacterial SSU rRNA
Rfam family: Bacterial small subunit ribosomal RNA
Source: RNAcentral
GAGGCAGCAGUAGGGAAUCUUCCGCAAUGGACGAAAGUCUGACGGAGCAACGCCGCGUGAGUGAUGAAGGCUUUCGGGUCGUAAAACUCUGUUGUUAGGAAAGAACAAGUGCUAGUUGAAUAAGCUGGCACCUUGACGGCACCUAACCAAAAAGCCACGGCUAACUACGUGCCAGCAGCCGCGGUAAUACGUAGGUGGCAAGCGUUAUCCGGAAUUAUUGGGCGUAAAGCGCGCGCAGGUGGUUUCUUAAGUCUGAUGUGAAACCCCACGGCUCAACCGUGGAGGCUCAUUGAAAACUGGGAGACUUGAGUGCAAAAGAGGAAAGUGGAAUUCCAUGUAUAGCGGUGAAAUGCAUAGAUAUAUGGAGGAACACCAGUGGCGAAGGCGACUUUCUGGUCUGUAACUGACACUGAGGCGCAAAAGCGUGGGGAGCAAACGGGAUUAGAUACCCUGGUAGCCCACGCCGUAAACGAUGAGUGCUAAGUGUUAGAGGGUUUCCGCCCUUUAGUGCUGAAGUUAACGCAUUAAGCACUCCGCCUGGGGAGUACGGCCGCAAGGCUGAAACUCAAAGGAAUUGACGGGGGCCC